This 824-nucleotide ribosomal RNA is filed under the name uncultured Latescibacterota bacterium. RNAcentral describes it as "bacterial SSU rRNA". It matches the Rfam family "Bacterial small subunit ribosomal RNA", at positions 114 to 912 of the family's 1533-position model. Lineage: Bacteria; Pseudomonadati; Candidatus Latescibacterota. The record is from RNAcentral.
CGCGUGGGAAACCUGCCCUCCAGAGGGGGAUAACAGUCCUAACGGACUGCUAAUACCGCAUUCGAUCCUCCGGUCGCCUGACCGGCGGAUGAAAGGUGGCCUCUCCUUGGAAGCUGCCGCUGGGGGAUGGUCCCGCGUCCCAUUAGCUUGUUGGUGGGGUAAAGGCCUACCAAGGCUACGAUGGGUAGCCGGCCUGAGAGGGUGUCCGGCCACACUGGGACUGAGAUACGGCCCAGACUCCUACGGGAGGCAGCAGUCGAGAAGCUUCGGCAAUGGGCGAAAGCCUGACCGAGCGACGCCGCGUGAGCGAUGAAGGCCUUAUCGGUUGUAAAGCUCUGUCAGAUUGGGAAGAAAACUCCGAGGUUAAUACCCUUGGGGCUUGACGGUACCAUCAGAGGAAGCACCGGCUAACUCCGUGCCAGCAGCCGCGGUAAUACGGAGGGUGCGAGCGUUGUUCGGAUUUACUGGGUAUAAAGGGUGCGUAGGCGGACCGAUAAGUCAGAGGUGAAAUCUGCCGGCUCAACCGGCAAAUUGCCUCUGAAACUGUCGGCCUUGAGUCCGGGAGAGGAAGGUGGAAUUCCUGGUGUAGCGGUGAAAUGCGUAAAUAUCAGGAGGAACACCGGUGGCGAAGGCGACCUUCUGGCCCGGCACUGACGCUGAGGCACGAAAGCUAGGGGAGCGAACGGGAUUAGAUACCCCGGUAGUCCUAGCCGCAAACGAUGGGCACUAGGUGUUGGAGGAGUCUACCCCUUCAGUGCCGCAGCUAAUGCAUUAAGUGCCCCACCUGGGGAGUACGAUCGCAAGGUUGAAACUCAAAGGAAUUG